AGUGAACGCUGGCGGUAGGCCUAACACAUGCAAGUCGAAUGGCAGCACAGUAAGAGCUUGCUCUUACGGGUGGCGAGUGGCGGACGGGUGAGGAAUACAUCGGAAUCUACUUUUUCGUGGGGGAUAACGUAGGGAAACUUACGCUAAUACCGCAUACGACCUACGGGUGAAAGCAGGGGAUCUUCGGACCUUGCGCGAUUGAAUGAGCCGAUGUCGGAUUAGCUAGUUGGCGGGGUAAAGGCCCACCAAGGCGACGAUCCGUAGCUGGUCUGAGAGGAUGAUCAGCCACACUGGAACUGAGACACGGUCCAGACUCCUACGGGAGGCAGCAGUGGGGAAUAUUGGACAAUGGGCGCAAGCCUGAUCCAGCCAUACCGCGUGGGUGAAGAAGGCCUUCGGGCUGUAAAGCCCUUUUGUUGGGAAAGAAAAGCAGCAGGUUAAUACCCCGCUGUUCUGACGGUACCCAAAGAAUAAGCACCGGCUAACUUCGUG
This 492-nucleotide ribosomal RNA is filed under the name uncultured bacterium. Its description in RNAcentral is "partial 16S ribosomal RNA". It matches the Rfam family "Bacterial small subunit ribosomal RNA", at positions 29 to 507 of the family's 1533-position model. The record is from RNAcentral.